GACGAACGCUGGCGGCGUGCUUAACACAUGCAAGUCGAACGGAAAGGCCCUGCUUUUGUGGGGUGCUCGAGUGGCGAACGGGUGAGUAACACGUGAGUAACCUGCCCUUGACUUUGGGAUAACUUCAGGAAACUGGGGCUAAUACCGGAUAGUAGCUCCUGCUGCAUGGUGGGGGUUGGAAAGUUUCGGCGGUUGGGGAUGGACUGGCGGUUUAUCAGCUUGUUGGUGGGGUGGUGGCUUACCAAGGCUUUGACGGGUAGCCGGCGUGAGAGGGUGGGCGGGCACACGGGGAGUGAGAUACGGGACAGACUCAUGCGGGAGGCAGCAGUGGGGGGUAUGGCACAAUGGGCGGAAGCCUGAUGCAGCGACGGCGCGUGAGGGAUGGAGGCCUUCGGGGGGUGAACCGCGUUCGCCGGUGAAGAAGGUCCGGCGCUUUGGGGUGGGGUGGACGGUAGCCGGGUUAUGAAGCGCCGGCUAACUACGUG
Molecule: ribosomal RNA, 485 nt
Filed under: uncultured bacterium
Lineage: Bacteria
Description: partial 16S ribosomal RNA
Rfam family: Bacterial small subunit ribosomal RNA
Source: RNAcentral